RNAcentral lists this ribosomal RNA (403 nucleotides) under Verrucomicrobiota bacterium. RNAcentral's name for it is "Verrucomicrobia bacterium partial 16S ribosomal RNA". It matches the Rfam family "Bacterial small subunit ribosomal RNA", at positions 355 to 776 of the family's 1533-position model. The record is from RNAcentral. Lineage: Bacteria; Pseudomonadati; Verrucomicrobiota.
UGGGGAAUAUUGCACAAUGGGCGCAAGCCUGAUGCAGCAACGCCGCGUGAACGAUGAAGGUCUUCGGAUCGUAAAGUUCUGUUGCAGGGGAAGAUAAUGACGGUACCCUGUGAGGAAGCCCCGGCUAACUACGUGCCAGCAGCCGCGGUAAUACGUAGGGGGCUAGCGUUAUCCGGAUUUACUGGGCGUAAAGGGUGCGUAGGUGGUCUUUCAAGUCGGUGGUUAAAGGCUACGGCUCAACCGUAGUUAGCCUCCGAAACUGGAAGACUUGAGUGCAGGAGAGGAAAGUGGAAUUCCCAGGGUAGCGGUGAAAUGCGUAGAUAUUGGGAGGAACACCAGUAGCGAAGGCGGCUUUCUGGACUGCAACUGACACUGAGGCACGAAAGCGUGGGUAGCAAACGGG